Molecule: non-coding RNA, 745 nt
Organism: Aegilops tauschii subsp. strangulata
Lineage: Eukaryota; Viridiplantae; Streptophyta; Magnoliopsida; Poales; Poaceae
Source: RefSeq, a predicted model, not a curated record
ACGUGAUCGGUUUUAGCUCCGAACAAACAGGAAUACAUGGUGGUGGGACAUGGGAGAUGUCGAAAAACUCAACUUUCCAUCGAUCUAGUGCAAUUGAUAGGGAUUGUGCACCUGCGCGACCGUCCUCUUUGUUGUUCUUCGUCAAGCCUGAGCUGGUGGUGCCGCGCCAACGCGAGGUGAGGCCGCUCUCCAACGUCGACAACCAGCCGGAGGUGCAUUUAUACGUGAUAGUCAUCGAAUUCUUCCGGUGCCUCGUCCCCGGAGGGGCGCCGGCUCAACCGGUGGGUUUCCUCAAGGCCGGCCUGGAGGAUGCCCUGGUGCACUACUACCCCAUGGCUGGUCGCCUGCGGGAGCUCCCACACGGCAAGAAGCUAGUGGUGGACUGCACGGCGGAGGUAGUGGUGUUCAUGGAGGCGGACGCCACGUGCGGCUGGAGGAGUUCGCCAAGCCGCUGGUGCCACCAUACCCCUGCGUUGACGAGCUCAUGUGCGACGUGGGUGAUAUGGGAGCUAUCGUCCGCAAGCCGUUGCUCAGGAAACUAACCGAGGGCUAGAAAAAGUGGGUCUAGUGGGUUCCCGAUGGGUUAAGUGGGAUAGCCCAUCAAUUUUUUGCAGUGUUCCACGGGUGCCCACUAAACACUUUUAAGUGGGAUGGGUGGAUGAGUCCCACCGCAGCCCACUCCCACCUGCAGCCUGAAAUAUAAGAGUGUACACACAGUGAUAAAACAGCAAGCAGUACCAAUACC